This 424-nucleotide ribosomal RNA is filed under the name uncultured bacterium. Its description in RNAcentral is "bacterial SSU rRNA". It matches the Rfam family "Bacterial small subunit ribosomal RNA", at positions 355 to 776 of the family's 1533-position model. The record is from RNAcentral.
UAAGGAAUAUUGGUCAAUGGGGGCAACCCUGAACCAGCCAUGCCGCGUGCAGGAUGACUGCCCUAUGGGUUGUAAACUGCUUUUGUCCAGGAAUAAACACCCCUACGUGUAGGGGCUUGAAUGUACUGGAAGAAUAAGGAUCGGCUAACUCCGUGCCAGCAGCCGCGGUAAUACGGAGGAUCCAAGCGUUAUCCGGAUUUAUUGGGUUUAAAGGGUGCGUAGGCGGUCUUAUAAGUCAGUGGUGAAAUACGGCAGCUCAACUGUCGCAGUGCCUUUGAUACUGUAGGACUUGAAUACACUUGAAGUGGGCGGAAUAAGACAAGUAGCGGUGAAAUGCAUAGAUAUGUCUUAGAACUCCGAUUGCGAAGGCAGCUCACUAAGGUGUGAUUGACGCUGAUGCACGAAAGCGUGGGGAUCAAACAGG